RNAcentral lists this ribosomal RNA (140 nucleotides) under bacterium 061228. RNAcentral describes it as "partial 16S rRNA". It matches the Rfam family "Bacterial small subunit ribosomal RNA", at positions 355 to 507 of the family's 1533-position model. RNAcentral also lists the same sequence under 2 other names. The record is from RNAcentral.
UGGGGAAUAUUGCACAAUGGGCGCAAGCCUGAUGCAGCGACGCCGCGUGAGGGAUGACGGCCUUCGGGUUGUAAACCUCUUUCAGUAGGGAAGAAGCGAAAGUGACGGUACCUGCAGAAGAAGCGCCGGCUAACUACGUG